RNAcentral lists this ribosomal RNA (393 nucleotides) under uncultured bacterium. RNAcentral describes it as "bacterial SSU rRNA". It matches the Rfam family "Bacterial small subunit ribosomal RNA", at positions 28 to 424 of the family's 1533-position model. The record is from RNAcentral.
GACGAACGCUGGCGGCGCGCUUAACACAUGCAAGUCGAGCGGUAAGGCCCUUUCGGGGGUACGACGAGCGGCGAACGGGUGAGUAACACGUGGGUGACCUGCCCUUAGCUCUGGGAUAAGCCUGGGAAACUGGGUCUAAUACCGGAUAUGACUCCAUGACGCAUGUUGUGGGGUGGAAAGCCUUGUGCGGCUAGGGAUGGGCCUGCGGCCUAUCAGCUUGUUGGUGGGGUGAUGGCCUACCAAGGCGACGACGGUAGCCGGCCUGAGAGGGCGACCGGCCACACUGGGACUGAGACACGGCCCAGACUCCUACGGGAGGCAGCAGUGGGGGAAUCUUGCGCAAUGGGCGAAAGCCUGACGCAGCGACGCCGCGUGGGGAUGACGGCCUCGGUU